Molecule: long non-coding RNA, 375 nt
Filed under: Ananas comosus (pineapple)
Lineage: Eukaryota; Viridiplantae; Streptophyta; Magnoliopsida; Poales; Bromeliaceae
Description: long non-coding RNA (ACOM_LNC002289)
Source: RNAcentral
CCUUGAGGUAGUCGGUUUUCAAAAUAGAGUUUUUGAGUGGGAAACAGUUUUAAAAAGAUUUUCGAAUGAUUUUUAUCAAUGAUUGGAUAGAGUUUAAAAAUAAAGCUUUCGGAUACGGAGCACUUUUAAAUAGAAUGAUUAUUGUACUGUGUAUCGCAUCAUCCAGCACCUAAGGAGUGUUUAGAGACAUGCAUCAUCUCUAAGGAUCGUUAGCUGUAUGUAAAUGCAUCGCAUAUAUUGGUUGUUGAUUGGUGAAUGUAAAUUGUGGUUGAGAUCCUGAUGUAGCUGUUGGUACGCCGUGCAAGUACAAAGAAGGCUCUGUCCAAGUGGACAGAGGAACUUUGUACUUGUGGCGGGUCUGUACGUCACUUGGGC